RNAcentral lists this ribosomal RNA (500 nucleotides) under uncultured bacterium. Its description in RNAcentral is "partial 16S ribosomal RNA". It matches the Rfam family "Bacterial small subunit ribosomal RNA", at positions 30 to 523 of the family's 1533-position model. The record is from RNAcentral.
AUCGAACGCUGGCGGUAUGCUUAACACAUGCAAGUCGAACGAUGAGAAAGAGCUUGCUCUUUCGAUUAGUGGCGGACGGGUGCGUAACGCGUAGGAAUCUACCUAUUAGUGGGGGACAACUUAGGGAAACUUAAGCUAAUACCGCAUACGCCCUACGGGGGAAAGAAGGGGAUCGCAAGACCUUUUGCUAAUAGAUGAGCCUGCGUAGGAUUAGCUGGUUGGUGGGGUAAAAGCUCACCAAGGCGACGAUCCUUAACUGGUUUGAGAGAAUGAUCAGUCACACGGGAACUGAGACACGGUCCAGACUCCUACGGGAGGCAGCAGUGGGGAAUUUUGGACAAUGGGCGAAAGCCUGAUCCAGCCAUGCCGCGUGCAGGAUGAAGGCCUUCGGGUUGUAAACUGCUUUUGUACGGAACGAAAAGGUUUGGCCUAAUAAGCUGAGCUCAUGACGGUACCGUAAGAAUAAGCACCGGCUAACUACGUGCCAGCAGCCGCAGUAA